Molecule: long non-coding RNA, 2373 nt
Organism: Meriones unguiculatus (Mongolian gerbil)
Lineage: Eukaryota; Metazoa; Chordata; Mammalia; Rodentia; Muridae
Exons: 3
Source: RefSeq, a predicted model, not a curated record
GGGAGAGAGUGGAUUUUCGGUGGCUCCUGCGCGGUCGGGCUAGAAGAGCGCGCCCGGGGCUGUAGGGCAUCCGGCGGCGGCGGCGGGGGCUUGCAGCGCGCGGGGCUGUACGGGACUGGAGCACCACUUCCCAGGGGCUUUGCAUUUUGGGAAGUUCCAAGGCUCCACCAAAAGAAAACGAGCGGGCACCUGCCUGAGGAGACCUCCAUUGAGCAAAAGGACCAGACACCAAAGAAGACAAGUAGCCCAGAUGAUCCAGCCUCACAGACUGCCUCACUUGCUGUUUCUUCACAAAGCUGCAACCAGGGAAACUCCAAAAUGGCUGGCUAAGACGGUCCAGCCUCACAUCCUGUUCCAGCCAAGACUUCAAUUAAGCCCUGUUCUUCUGAUCCCACAGAGACUGGACAGCACAUGACGCAGCUAGCUCUCCUAGGACUAGGCCAAUAUCCCAGUUUUCUUAGACCUUCCCCAAAAGGUGCUGUUGUCCCCAGGUGCCAGGAAGUAAUUUUAAGAGAACAGUAUCCCCUUUCCCAAGAGGUGGGGUGGGUGGUUUUUGGUUCUUUGGUGGGUGAUGGAUGUUUGUUGUCCUUUAGGGGGAUUGGUUACAAGUUGUUAUUGGUCAUGGUCAGGGAGGAAACAAAGGAGGUUAAAUUCAGGGAUCUUUUUCUUUCUCCUCAUUAUCCUUCUUUCCCUCCUGUCUAAUGUUAGGGGGGAAGUGGGAAGAUAUGAUAAAGAAAAAAAAAAAACAAAUGAGGAUAUAAGAAUCAUAGAAGGGUAGAUUAUUGAAUCUACAUUUAAACCAAAGAACACCAAGAAGCCAAAUAUUUUACAUUGGUAUAGUAUUUUGUAUAUUGAUACAAAUUUAAGGAUAUAUUUUGCUACAACAUAUUGCAUAUGUGUUCCAAUUCUCACUUUAGGUAUUGUACCUAUGCCAACUCCCUCAACUGUAAUGUGAAGUUAUAGUCCUUUUGAAAGCUACUAUUACAAGCUGUUUAGGACAAUUAAGAAAUUCUAGCUACUAGUCAAUCAAACUUGUCAUGUCAGGUAAUGGUUUAGCUAAUUACAGCGAUAAGCUUUAUUUAGCCGCCUGUAGAUCUUUCCAAAGUUAAACAGAUAGUAAGUAGUUGGAAACAAGUAAUGUUUGCCUAUUCAGUGGUCUUCAAACUCUUCAGAGAUCUGCAGAAUAUGGCAUUUAAUGAUGUCUUAAUAAUAAAAGGCUCUUUUGACAGUGAGACAUGCCUGCUCCUGGCAGCACCCUCAUACUACUUCAAAGAAGAUGGUGGGCAUCGAAGAACCUCCAUAUGGGUUUGCAUGGUGGCAGAGGUGCCAGCAGACAAAACUGCCCUCGCCUCAAUUGCUGACAGCAUGCUGUCCAAACCAUGGACGAGCAGGACACAGAGGAAGUCGACUGCCAAGCUUUGCUGAGACAAUGUAGGCCAGUCCUUCAAUAUUCCUGCUUCACAGAUAAGUCUGUCAGAUAUUCUGAGCCAGUAGGCCGAAGAUGGAUGCUCCAAAACUGCACAGGAAUCUUGCACAGGGUGACUGUCCAGGGGGCCGGCAGUCUCUGUCAUUCUAUGGUUUUGGAAACUUGCUCUGCACAUCCUGUUUUCUCUGUUAAUAUUUAUCCUUCUCAGGUCUCUGAUGUGGUUGAAGACUAGAUAGUUACAGCCUUACAGUUUUCCUUGUCACCAAAGAAAGGAAACUCCCAAAAGAGAGGUAAAGUUUAUAAAGGUUGAAAGACAUAAAAGCUUAAGUUGUAAAGGAUCCAAGAAAAUGUUUUAAGCUCUUAAAAGAUGUUUUUAGGUCGAUAAAUGCAAGAUAUGAUAGACAAUGAUUUAGGUACAGAACUUUGGAGUCACCAAGAAAAUCCUUUCUUGAAGGUUGGCAAAUACAGAUAAACUAGACAUUGUGAAUGUAAUCCUUACCUGAUAGCUCUCAUUGUGUAUAGUUUACUGAUGUUAGAGGAAGAGCCUUUUAUUGGACUAAAAGGUGGGACUGUUGGGGUGAUCUUUUGUGCACUUUGUAAAGGUUGUCUUUUUUAUUGUUCAAGUUUCUUUAGCUCAAUUGCACUGGAUGUGGUUGAUCACAUGUAGGGAGGAGGUACAUGGGCAGGAAAUACACUGUGAUGUAUGCUUGCUCCUGAUUGGCUACAGGUAGGAGGUAUGCUGGCAGGGAGUACGUCAAGAUAUUUGCUUGUCCCUUAUUGUACCUUAUUGUACCUGAUGGGAAAUACUGUGGCCUUAUGGAUUUGCCUUUUUAAGCCUCUGCAAAAUGUUACCCAUUGCCAUUUUCUGGGAACCAGGAAUGGACCUGGCGAGAGUCCAUCAUCCUGGCUAGUAUUUAAGUAAAGCUUGCUUCAACUAUGUCUCAAAA